RNAcentral lists this ribosomal RNA (258 nucleotides) under uncultured bacterium. RNAcentral describes it as "partial 16S ribosomal RNA". It matches the Rfam family "Bacterial small subunit ribosomal RNA", at positions 524 to 776 of the family's 1533-position model. The record is from RNAcentral.
UACGGAGGGUGCAAGCGUUUAUCCGGAUUCACUGGGUUUAAAGGGUGCGUAGGAGGGCAGGUAAGUCAGUGGUGAAAUCUUCGAGCUUAACUCGGAAACUGCCGUUGAUACUAUCUGUCUUGAAUACCGUGGAGGUGAGCGGAAUAUGUCAUGUAGCGGUGAAAUGCUUAGAUAUGACAUAGAACACCAAUUGCGAAAGGCAGCUCGCUACACGAAAUAUUGACUCUGAGGCACGAAAAGCGUGGGGGAUCAAAACGG